Molecule: ribosomal RNA, 489 nt
Filed under: Escherichia coli
Lineage: Bacteria; Pseudomonadati; Pseudomonadota; Gammaproteobacteria; Enterobacterales; Enterobacteriaceae
Description: bacterial SSU rRNA
Rfam family: Bacterial small subunit ribosomal RNA
Source: RNAcentral
ACUGCCUGAUGGAGGGGGAUAACUACUGGAAACGGUAGCUAAUACCGCAUAACGUCGCAAGACCAAAGAGGGGGACCUUCGGGCCUCUUGCCAUCGGAUGUGCCCAGAUGGGAUUAGCUUGUUGGUGGGGUAACGGCUCACCAAGGCGACGAUCCCUAGCUGGUCUGAGAGGAUGACCAGCCACACUGGAACUGAGACACGGUCCAGACUCCUACGGGAGGCAGCAGUGGGGAAUAUUGCACAAUGGGCGCAAGCCUGAUGCAGCCAUGCCGCGUGUAUGAAGAAGGCCUUCGGGUUGUAAAGUACUUUCAGCGGGGAGGAAGGGAGUAAAGUUAAUACCUUUGCUCAUUGACGUUACCCGCAGAAGAAGCACCGGCUAACUCCGUGCCAGCAGCCGCGGUAAUACGGAGGGUGCAAGCGUUAAUCGGAAUUACUGGGCGUAAAGCGCACGCAGGCGGUUUGUUAAGUCAGAUGUGAAAUCCCCGGGCU